GGGAAUUGCGGCUGCCUUUAACAUGCAGUCGAACGGUAACAGGGAGCUUGCUCCGCUGACGAGUGGCGAACGGGUGAGUAAUACAUCGGAACGUGCCCAGUAAUGGGGGAUAGCUCGGCGAAAGCCGGAUUAAUACCGCAUACGCCCUGAGGGGGAAAGUGGGGGACCGCAAGGCCUCACGUUAUUGGAGCGGCCGAUGGCUGAUUAGCUAGUUGGUAGGGUAAAGGCCUACCAAGGCGACGAUCAGUAGCUGGUCUGAGAGGACGAUCAGCCACACUGGGACUGAGACACGGCCCAGACUCCUACGGGAGGCAGCAGUGGGGAAUUUUGGACAAUGGGGGAAACCCUGAUCCAGCAAUGCCGCGUGUGCGAAGAAGGCCUUCGGGUUGUAAAGCACUUUUGUCAGGGAAGAAAUCCUUUGGGCUAAUACCCUAGGGGGAUGACGGUACCUGAAGAAUAAGCACCGGCUAACUACGUGCCAGCAGCCGCGGUAAUACGUAGGGUGCAAGCGUUAAUCGGAAUUACUGGGCGUAAAGCGUGCGCAGGCGGUUGUGUAAGACAGGUGUGAAAUCCCCGGGCUUAACCUGGGAAUUGCAUUUGUGACUGCACG
Molecule: ribosomal RNA, 610 nt
Filed under: Limnobacter sp.
Lineage: Bacteria; Pseudomonadati; Pseudomonadota; Betaproteobacteria; Burkholderiales; Burkholderiaceae
Description: bacterial SSU rRNA
Rfam family: Bacterial small subunit ribosomal RNA
Source: RNAcentral